GCCGAUGUAGCUCAGCUGGUAGAGCAAUCCCUUCGUAAGGGAUAGGUCGGAGGUUCGAUUCCUCUCAUCGGCUCCA
Molecule: transfer RNA, 76 nt
Filed under: candidate division WWE3 bacterium CG_4_10_14_0_2_um_filter_41_14
Lineage: Bacteria; candidate division WWE3
Also listed under: 1 other name
Description: tRNA-Thr
Rfam family: tRNA
About the family: Transfer RNA (tRNA) molecules are approximately 80 nucleotides in length. Their secondary structure includes four short double-helical elements and three loops (D, anti-codon, and T loops).
Source: RNAcentral